CAGUCGCCACGGUAAUACGUAGGUGGCAAGCGUUGUCCGGAAUUAUUGGGCGUAAAGCGCGCGCAGGCGGAUAGGUCAGUCUGUCUUAAAAGUUCGGGGCUUAACCCCGUGAUGGGAUGGAAACUGCCAAUCUAGAGUAUCGGAGAGGAAAGUGGAAUUCCUAGUGUAGCGGUGAAAUGCGUAGAUAUUAGGAAGAACACCAGUGGCGAAGGCGACUUUCUGGACGAAAACUGACGCUGAGGCGCGAAAGCCAGGGGAGCGAACGGGAUUAGAUACCCGCGUAGUCCCUGUCUCUUAUACC
This 301-nucleotide ribosomal RNA is filed under the name uncultured bacterium. RNAcentral describes it as "partial 16S ribosomal RNA". It matches the Rfam family "Bacterial small subunit ribosomal RNA", at positions 509 to 808 of the family's 1533-position model. The record is from RNAcentral.